Molecule: non-coding RNA, 100 nt
Filed under: unclassified sequences
Description: c-di-GMP sequence
Rfam family: c-di-GMP-II-GAG riboswitch aptamer
Source: Rfam by way of RNAcentral
CAGAACCAGGGAAGCGAUGAUCCCCGGGGUGACCAACGGUCGCCUAGCCGCGUGAGCGGCGCCCCGGGAUGAGCCAAUGGCGAGACCGACCCGUGGCCGC